Molecule: long non-coding RNA, 396 nt
Organism: Oncorhynchus nerka (sockeye salmon)
Lineage: Eukaryota; Metazoa; Chordata; Actinopteri; Salmoniformes; Salmonidae
Exons: 2
Source: RefSeq, a predicted model, not a curated record
CAGUGCACCUCCCAGCUACAGCCGGCAGUACACCUCCCAGCUACAGCCGGCAGUACACCUCCCAGCUACAGCCGGCAGUACACCUCCCAGCUACAGCCGGCAGUACACCUCCCAGCUACAGCCGGCAGUACACCUCCCAGCUACAGCCGGCAGUACACCUCCCAGCUACAGCCGGCAGUACACCUCCCAGCUACAGCCGGCAGUACACCUCCCAGCUACAGCCGACAGUACACCUCCCAGCUACAGCCGGCAGUACACCUCCCAGCUACAGCCGACAGAGUACAGUACACCUCCCAGCUACAGUCGGCAGAGUACAGUACACCUCCCAGCUACAGCCGGCAGAGUACAGUACACCUCCCAGCUACAGCCGGCAGUACACCUCCCAGCUACAGCCGG